UGUGAUUCUAGAUGGCCAGACUGCUUGCAACAAUGACAAGAAACUGCCAUGUGGGGAAUCGGGUUUCCGGGGGCCCGUGGGGCUUCGGCGGGGCCUUACUGCAGGGCGUGCUGAAAUGCUGAUGUGCAGGCCCUGGAUCCACGGGGGAGCGCCGGCCCGGCUCCUGUUACCGAGCACACUGACAGACACACAUUCAUACACAUAUUCUCACUUGUGCUCACACACACACACAAGCAAAACACGCACGCAUGCACUUUCACGAACUUCUCAGAGAGGUGACCGUGUCACUUGAACAUCCUGGCAUUACAUGUUGGACCCCCGGGACAUUUCUAAGUGACCCCAAGCUUCUGAACGGUCUCCCUCUCCUCCCCUGACAAUCCUUCCACACCUUGCUCCUCGGUGAGACCGGAACCUUCCACUGCGGCUCACAGGGUGGGCUCCGCUUGACUCAUGGUGUUAUAAAGAGGGGUCGUGACCCGGUCGUAUGACUGCUUCCUGUUGUAGUUGAAGAGGUCUUCCGAGGCCUGGGGUGAUCACAGGAGAUACUACAUCCGGUGGUUGAGGGCCUGUCACAGUAAAAGACAUACAUCAGUUGAACAGUAGCUGUUUUGGGACGUAGGGAGAGAGGGAAACAGAGAAAGUGGUGUUAUUUAUUGCUGUGAGGGCCAGAGGAAGAUGGUGAAAGAGAUGAGUUCACUUCAUAUAGAAAAGACUGAAUACAUUAAAUAAAAAAACACUUUCAUGAACUA
This is a long non-coding RNA of Oncorhynchus gorbuscha (pink salmon), 749 nucleotides long. RefSeq lists it as uncharacterized. The record is from RefSeq and is a predicted model, not a curated record. Lineage: Eukaryota; Metazoa; Chordata; Actinopteri; Salmoniformes; Salmonidae. The transcript has 5 exons.